AGAAUCAACGCUGGCGGCGUGCCUAACACAUGCAAGUCGAACGGGAAAGUGGAGCAAUCCAUGAGUAUAGUGGCGACCGGGUGAGUAACACGUGACUACCUACCCUUGAGUGGGGGAUAACCUCGGGAAACCGAGGCUAAUACCGCAUAACAUCGAAAGAUCAAAGGAGUAAUCCGCUUUUGGAGGGGGUCGCGGCUGAUUAGCUAGUUGGUAAGGUAAUGGCUUACCAAGGCGAAGAUCGGUAUCCGGCCUGAGAGGGCGCACGGACACACUGGAACUGAAACACGGUCCAGACUCCUACGGGAGGCAGCAGUGGGAAUUUGCGCAAUGGGGGAAACCCUGACGCAGCAACGCCGCGUGGAGGAUGAAGCCCUUGGGGCGUAAACUCCGUUUCGACCGGGACGAUAAUGACGGUACCGGUGGAAGAAGCACCGGCUAACGUCUGCGCCAGCAGGCCGC
RNAcentral lists this ribosomal RNA (459 nucleotides) under uncultured bacterium. RNAcentral describes it as "SSU rRNA". It matches the Rfam family "Bacterial small subunit ribosomal RNA", at positions 26 to 518 of the family's 1533-position model. The record is from RNAcentral.